GUAUGUGGUGACUUUGUUCAUCUGGGGUUGGCCUUGUCUGUUUCAUAAGGGGAGGGAAUAUGUAAUUGUUCUCUCUCCUAAUUAUAGUUAGUUUCUUAUUUUUUAUUUAUUUCUGGAAAUGCUGGCUUGAAUUAUUGCAUAAUGACGUGAUUUCAUUUGAAUGAUUGAGGUGAUUUUGCUGGGGUCUUGUCUCUGUAAAUUCUUGUAUAAUUUGAGGGUUCAAUUUUGUUGGGGAAUAUAAUUUGAAGAGAUCAGGAAAAGGGUAAAAGGAGAUGAGUUGCUUUUCUUGUAUGACCCCUCGACGUAAGAAUGCGAGGGAUUACGAUGAAGAUAUGACCCCGAAAUCCAUUGCCUCUUCAGAUCAAUUAUUGCUAGGAUUUGCAGUUGGUGCGAAUAGAAAGGCAAAUUUUAGUGAGAGGAGUAGGGGAAAGGGAAGUUCUGCGGGAGCAAGAGGCAUAGAAGACAAUGGCCAAGAUAGCAAUGUGGCUCGUACCUUCACAUUCAAGGAACUUGCGUUGGCGACCCAAAAUUUUAGAGAAUCUAAUUUGAUCGGGGAAGGUGGUUUUGGAAGCGUUUACAAGGGCUGCCUAGAUUCAGAUAUGGUUGUUGCUGUCAAACAACUAAAUCUCGAAGGCCUUCAGGGGAAUCAAGAAUUUAUCGUAGAAGUUUUGAUGUUAAGUCUGCUGCACCAUCCCAACCUUGUUAACUUGAUCGGGUAUUGUGCUCACGGAGACCAGAGACUUUUGGUGUACGAGUAUAUGCCACUAGGGAGCCUGGAGUAUCAUCUUUUCGAUUUAGAGCCUGGUCAGAAGCCAUUGAUUUGGAGCACAAGGCUGAAGAUUGCUGUAGAUGCAGCUCAUGGCCUUGAAUAUCUUCACUGCAAAGCAAAUCCACCAGUCAUUUAUCGUGAUCUGAAAUCUUCGAACAUAUUGUUGGACAAUGAAUUCAAUGCCAAGCUGUCAGAUUUUGGACUCGCCAAACUAGGACCCGUUGGUGAGAAUACCCAUGUAUCGACACGAGUGAUGGGAACUUAUGGAUACUGUGCCCCUGAAUAUGCCAUGAGUGGCAAAUUGACUCUAAAAUCAGACAUCUAUAGCUUUGGCGUGGUUCUGUUGGAACUGAUAACUGGACGUAAGGUUAUUGACUGCACCAGAAAGCCUGGAGAGCAGAAUCUUAUUGUGUGGUCUCGUCCUUUUCUUAAAGACCGGAAGAAGUUUGUUGAGAUGGCUGACCCGCUAUUAGAGGGGCGCUUCUCUGUCCGAAGUCUGCAUCAUGCAGUUGCAAUUACUGCAAUGUGUCUUCAGGAACAAGCAAGUUUCCGCCCUGCCAUCAGUGAUAUUGUUACAGCACUUGAAUACCUAGCUUCUCAGACAGGUAGCUCUGAUCGUCAUAAAGGUGGAUCUUUAAAUCAGACAUCAUCACCGCCAUUGAGAAGACGAGAUCUUGAAAAUGCUUCUUUUGAUGUUUUAACAUCAAGCUUCUAACAUAGUUGUAACUAUUAAGGAAGAAGGAUAUGGAGCACUCAAUUUUUUUCACCUCUAGAAGAAUUACGAGAAUAAUCGAUGUUGCCAAUAUUCCUGACAGUUGGGAAGUGUUACUUGAGUUUGUAUAGCACGAGGAUGUUAAAUAAAUUCGGAAUUGCACGACUUAGAACUGUGAGACGUGCGUGAUUGUCUUGAUUUUUCUAUCCCAUUGUUAAUCCUCGGAGUUCUUUUAAAGCUAAUGAGUUGGGAAGGUUUGUGUACAUGUUGCAGUUCAUUUUCUAUUUCAUUCUGAUCUUCGUUAUGCCGCCUUCUCAAUUUAGUACUUCUUUGAGGUGUAUCUUAGUCGAAUGCAGCAUCCAGUAUCUCGUAUUUUUUCCCCUCCAGUCGACCCCUCCCAUGUUGUUAGGAUUUUGUAAUUGCAGUCUUGUGAUUUUCCAGAUAGAUUUAUCUUUAAAUGCAACAGAAAUUCGUUGGAAUGGCUGUUAGGAACUUUUCUAU
This is an RNA transcript of Olea europaea var. sylvestris, 1982 nucleotides long. It is a transcript of the gene named probable serine/threonine-protein kinase PBL21, with no coding region annotated. Lineage: Eukaryota; Viridiplantae; Streptophyta; Magnoliopsida; Lamiales; Oleaceae. The record is from RefSeq and is a predicted model, not a curated record. The transcript has 7 exons.